This 305-nucleotide unclassified non-coding RNA is filed under the name Clitocybe subditopoda. Its description in RNAcentral is "partial internal transcribed spacer region". The stretch from base 1 to 46 matches the Rfam family "Eukaryotic small subunit ribosomal RNA", at positions 1786 to 1831 of the family's 1831-position model. The record is from RNAcentral. Lineage: Eukaryota; Fungi; Basidiomycota; Agaricomycetes; Agaricales; Clitocybaceae.
AAGUCGUAACAAGGUUUCCGUAGGUGAACCUGCGGAAGGAUCAUUAUUGAAUAAACUUGGUUGGGUUGUUGCUGGCCCCUCGGGGCAUGUGCACGCCUGGCACCAUUUUUACCACCUGUGCACCCUUUGUAGACCUGGGAUAACCGUCCGGGGAAACUCGGUUUGAGGAUCUGCCGUCAAGGCUCUCCUUGCAUUCCUGGUCUACGUCUUUACAUAUACCCCACAAGCAUGUAAUAGAAUGUCAUUGAUUGGCCUCAGUGCCUUUAAAUUGAAUACAACUUUCAACAACGGAUCUCUUGGCUCUC